Molecule: ribosomal RNA, 568 nt
Filed under: uncultured bacterium
Lineage: Bacteria
Description: bacterial SSU rRNA
Rfam family: Bacterial small subunit ribosomal RNA
Source: RNAcentral
UGGGAUAACCUCUCGAAAGAGGGGCUAAUACCGGAUAACACUCGGGGUCGCAUGGCCCGGGGUUGAAAGGCUUGCUGCUGGAAGAGGGGUCUGCGGGACAUUAGCUUGUUGGCGGGGUAACGGCCCACCAAGGCGAUGAUGUCUAGCGGGUCUGAGAGGAUGAUCCGCCACACUGGAACUGAGAUACGGUCCAGACUCCUACGGGAGGCAGCAGUGGGGAAUUUUGCGCAAUGGGCGAAAGCCUGACGCAGCAACGCCGCGUGAGUGAAGAAGGCCUUUGGGUCGUAAAGCUCUUUUCCGGGGGAAGAGAGAAGACGGUACCCCGGGAAUAAGCACCGGCUAACUCCGUGCCAGCAGCCGCGGUAAUACGGAGGGUGCAAGCGUUGUUCGGAUUUACUGGGCGUAAAGGGCGUGUAGGCGGGUGCGCAAGCCGGAGGUGAAAGCCCCAGGCUCAACCUGGGAAGCUCUUCCGGAACUGCGCGCCUAGAGAUGGCCAGAGGCAGGUGGAAUUCCUGGUGUAGAGGUGAAAUUCGUAGAGAUCAGGAGGAACACCGGUGGCGAAGGCGGC